This 339-nucleotide ribosomal RNA is filed under the name uncultured Pseudomonas sp. Its description in RNAcentral is "bacterial SSU rRNA". It matches the Rfam family "Bacterial small subunit ribosomal RNA", at positions 1046 to 1382 of the family's 1533-position model. Lineage: Bacteria; Pseudomonadati; Pseudomonadota; Gammaproteobacteria; Pseudomonadales; Pseudomonadaceae. The record is from RNAcentral.
UGGCGUGUCGUCAGCUCCGUGUCGUGAGAUGUUGGGUUAAGUCCCGUAACGAGCGCAACCCUUGUCCUUAGUUACCAGCACGUUAUGGUGGGCACUCUAAGGAGACUGCCGGUGACAAACCGGAGGAAGGUGGGGAUGACGUCAAGUCAUCGUGGCCCUUACGGCCUGGGCUACACACGUGCUACAAUGGUCGGUACAAAGGGUUGCCAAGCCGCGAGGUGGAGCUAAUCCCAUAAAACCGAUCGUAGUCCGGAUCGCAGUCUGCAACUCGACUGCGUGAAGUCGGAAUCGCUAGUAAUCGUGAAUCAGAAUGUCACGGUGAAUACGUUCCCGGGCCUU